GAUUACGGCCAUACCACACUGACAACGCCCGAUCUCGUAUGAUCUCGGAAGCUAAACAGAGUUGGGCUGGGUCAGUACUUGGAUGGGUGACCGCCUGGGAAUACCCGGUGCUGUAAGCA
Molecule: ribosomal RNA, 119 nt
Filed under: Cottoperca gobio
Lineage: Eukaryota; Metazoa; Chordata; Actinopteri; Perciformes; Bovichtidae
Source: RNAcentral